RNAcentral lists this ribosomal RNA (405 nucleotides) under bacterium. Its description in RNAcentral is "partial 16S ribosomal RNA". It matches the Rfam family "Bacterial small subunit ribosomal RNA", at positions 355 to 776 of the family's 1533-position model. The record is from RNAcentral.
UGGGUAAUCUUGCGCAAUGGGGGGAACCCUGACGCAGCGACGCCGCGUGCGGGACGGAGGCCUUCGGGUCGUAAACCGCUUUCAGCAGGGAAGAGUCAAGACUGUACCUGCAGAAGAAGCCCCGGCUAACUACUUGCCAGCAGCCGCGGUAAUACGUAGGGGGCGAGCGUUAUCCGGAUUCAUUGGGCGUAAAGCGCGCGUAGGCGGCCCGGCAGGCCGGGGGUCGAAGCGGGGGGCUCAACCCCCCGAAGCCCCCGGAACCUCCGCGGCUUGGGGCCGGUAGGGGAGGGUGGAACACCCGGUGGAGCGGUGGAAUGCGCAGAUAGCGGGUGGAACACCGGUGGCGAAGGCGGCACUCUGGGCAGAGACCGACGCUGAGGCGCGAAAGCUGGGGGAGCGAACAGG